RNAcentral lists this RNase P RNA (292 nucleotides) under Rhodococcus sp. (in: high G+C Gram-positive bacteria). Its description in RNAcentral is "partial RNase P RNA component class A". It matches the Rfam family "Bacterial RNase P class A", at positions 127 to 367 of the family's 367-position model. Rfam says of the family: Ribonuclease P (RNase P) is a ubiquitous endoribonuclease, found in archaea, bacteria and eukarya as well as chloroplasts and mitochondria. Lineage: Bacteria; Bacillati; Actinomycetota; Actinomycetes; Mycobacteriales; Nocardiaceae. The record is from RNAcentral.
CGCCUGCACCGCAUUUUCUUCGGAAAGUGCAGUGCAGGUCAGGGUGAAACGGUGCGGUAAGAGCGCACCAGCACCCCAGGUGACUGGGGUGGCUAGGUAAACCCCGCCCGGAGCAAGGUCGAAGGCCGAACCUUUUUCGAAAGGUCCGGCUGCGCAGGUGUUCGAGGGCUGCUCGCCCGAGCCUGCGGGUGAACCGCUCGAGGCACCCGGCGACGGUGUGCCCAGAUGGAUGGUCGCCACUCGGCACUUCGGUGUCGCAGGACAGGAUCCGGCUUACACGCCGACUCGUCCG